AGAACGACUCUCGGCAACGGAUAUCUAGGCUCUCGCAUCGAUGAAGAACGUAGCGAAAUGCGAUACUUGGUGUGAAUUGCAGAAUCCCGCGAAUCAUCGAGUUUUUGAACGCAAGUUGCGCCCGAAGCCUUCCGGCCGAGGGCACGUCUGCCUGGGUGUCACGC
This 164-nucleotide ribosomal RNA is filed under the name Quercus cerris (Turkey oak). RNAcentral's name for it is "5.8S ribosomal RNA". It matches the Rfam family "5.8S ribosomal RNA". From Rfam's summary of the family: 5.8S ribosomal RNA (5.8S rRNA) is a component of the large subunit of the eukaryotic ribosome. It is transcribed by RNA polymerase I as part of the 45S precursor that also contains 18S and 28S rRNA. Functionally, it is thought that 5.8S rRNA may be involved in ribosome translocation. Lineage: Eukaryota; Viridiplantae; Streptophyta; Magnoliopsida; Fagales; Fagaceae. The record is from RNAcentral.